GGGGAUUUAGCUCAGUGGUAGAGCGCUUGCCUAGCAAGCGCAAGGCCCUGGGUUCGAUCCUAAGCUCCG
Molecule: transfer RNA, 69 nt
Filed under: Rattus norvegicus (Norway rat)
Lineage: Eukaryota; Metazoa; Chordata; Mammalia; Rodentia; Muridae
Rfam family: tRNA
About the family: Transfer RNA (tRNA) molecules are approximately 80 nucleotides in length. Their secondary structure includes four short double-helical elements and three loops (D, anti-codon, and T loops).
Source: Rfam by way of RNAcentral